CGGCAACAGCUCAAAUUUGAAAUCUGGCCCUCGGGUCCGAGUUGUAAUUUGUAGAGGAUGCUUUUGGCGCGGUGCCUUCCGAGUUCUCUGGAACGGGACGCCUUAGAGGGUGAGAGCCCCGUACGGUUGGACACCAAGCCUCUGUAAAGCUCCUUCGAC
RNAcentral lists this ribosomal RNA (159 nucleotides) under Xylariaceae sp. RNAcentral describes it as "partial large subunit ribosomal RNA". It matches the Rfam family "Eukaryotic large subunit ribosomal RNA", at positions 99 to 261 of the family's 3401-position model. The record is from RNAcentral. Lineage: Eukaryota; Fungi; Ascomycota; Sordariomycetes; Xylariales; Xylariaceae.